Molecule: ribosomal RNA, 395 nt
Filed under: uncultured bacterium
Lineage: Bacteria
Description: bacterial SSU rRNA
Rfam family: Bacterial small subunit ribosomal RNA
Source: RNAcentral
AUUGAACGCUGGCGGCAUGCCUUACACAUGCAAGUCGAACGGCAGCACGGGGGCAACCCUGGUGGCGAGUGGCGAACGGGUGAGUAACGCAUCGGAAUGUACCCAGUAGUGGGGGAUAACUAGUCGAAAGAUUAGCUAAUACCGCAUACGCACUGAGGUGGAAAGCGGGGGAUCGCAAGACCUCGCGCUAUUGGAGCAGCCGAUGUCCGAUUAGGUAGUUGGUGGGGUAAAGGCCUACCAAGCCUGCGAUCGGUAACUGGUCUGAGAGGACGACCAGUCCCACUGGGACUGAGACACGGCCCAGACUCCUACGGGAGGCAGCAGUGGGGAAUUUUGGACAAUGGGCGCAAGCCUGAUCCAGCAAUGCCGCGUGUGUGAAGAAGGCCUUCGGGUUG